GUUUGUUUGUGGAUGCUAGCUAUAAGGUUAACAGACAGACAGUUUACCAUUGAUCUUGGUGUUUGUUUGUGGAUGUUAGCUAUUUAUAAGGUUAACAGACAGACAGUUUACCAUUGAUCUUGGUGUUUGUUUGUGGAUGCUAGCUAUAAGGUUAACAGACAGACAGUUUACCAUUGAUCUUGAUGUUUGUUUGUGGAUGCUAGCUAUAAUAGUUAACAGACAGACAGUUUACCAUUGAUCUAGGUGUUUGUUUGUGGAUGCUAGCUAUAAGAGUUAACAGACAGACAGUUUACCAUUGAUCUUGGUGUUUGUUUCACAGCUAGAGAGGAUCGUCUUCUCUUUUUCUGGUUAGGAACAGUUUCAUUGAAAUGUCUGUCUUCUGGAGAUCUUGUUCUAGCUCUUGUCCUCUUUACAGGAGCUGUAGUUGGAACAUUUUCAAUGAAUGCUUGCAACAUUGACCUUGGUGUGUCCUUUUUAGCCAUUCU
This 485-nucleotide long non-coding RNA is filed under the name Mytilus galloprovincialis (Mediterranean mussel). Lineage: Eukaryota; Metazoa; Mollusca; Bivalvia; Mytilida; Mytilidae. The record is from RNAcentral.